AUGGGGAGUCGGACCUGCCCGGUGAAAAUUUUUAACGGCCGCGGUACUCUGACCGUGCAAAGGUAGCAUAAUCAUUUGCCUUAUAAUUGAAGGCUAGUAUGAAUGGUUUAACAUGAAUAUAGCUGUCUCUUUAUAAUUUAAUAGAAUUUUAUUUAUAGGUGAAGAAGCCUAUAUAGUAUUGAAAGACAAGAAGACCCUAUCGAGCUUUAAAAAAAUUAAUAGAUUAUCAAAUUAAUAGGUUUAAAAAAUCAACUAUUAUAUAUAUUAGUUGGGGCGACUAAGGAACAAUAAAAGCUUCUUUUAAUUAAUCAAAAUACUAUUCAAGUAUUGAUCCAGAAUUAUUCUGAUUAAAGGAAUUAGUUACCGUAGGGAUAACAGCAUAAUCUUUUUUAAGAGUUCUUAUCGAAAAAAAGGUUUGUGACCUCGAUGUUGGACCAGAGUAUCCCAAAGAUGCAGCAGUCUUUAAAGGUUGGUCUGUUCGACCAUUAAAACUCUA
RNAcentral lists this ribosomal RNA (496 nucleotides) under Belomitra sp. MNHN 11057. RNAcentral describes it as "partial 16S ribosomal RNA". It matches the Rfam family "Bacterial large subunit ribosomal RNA", at positions 1845 to 2598 of the family's 2925-position model. Lineage: Eukaryota; Metazoa; Mollusca; Gastropoda; Neogastropoda; Buccinidae. The record is from RNAcentral.